GGUUCGAUUCUGGCUCAGAUUGAACGCUGGCGGGAUGCUUUACAUGCAAGUCGAACGGCAGCACGGACUUCGGUCUGGUGGCGAGUGGCGAACGGGUGAGUAAUGUAUCGGAACGUGCCUAGUAGCGGGGGAUAACUACGCGAAAGCGUAGCUAAUACCGCAUACGCCCUUCGGGGGAAAGCGGGGGACCUUCGGGCCUGCGCACUAUUAGAGCGGCCGAUAUCGGAUUAGCUAGUUGGUGGGGUAACGGCUCCGCAAGGCGACGAUCGUAGCUGGUUUGAGAGGACGACCAGCCACACUGGGACUGAGACACAGCCCAGACUCCUACGGGAGGCAGCAGUGGGGAAUUUUGGACAAUGGAAACCCUGAUCCAGCCAUCCCGCGUGUGCGAUGAAGGCCUUCGGGUUGUAAAGCACUUUUGGCAGGAAAGAAACGGCACGGGAUAAUACCCCGUGCAACUGACAGUACCUGCAGAAUAAGCACCGGCUAACUACGUGCCAGCAGCCGCGGUAAUACGUAGGAGUGCAAGCGUUAAUCGGAAUUACUGGGCGUAAAGCGUGCGCAGGCGGUUCCGGAAAGAAGAUGUGAAAUCCCAGAGCUUAACUUUGGAACUGCAUUUUUAACUACCGAGCUAGAGUGUGUCAGAGGAGGUGGAAUUCCGCGUGUGGCAGUGAAAUGCGUAGAUAUGCGGAGGAACACCGAUAGCGAAAAACAGCCUCACAUGGGAUAACACUGACGCUCAUGCACGAAGCGUGGGGAGCAAACAGGAUUAGAUACCCUGGUAGUCCACGCCUAAACGAUGUCAACUAGCUGUUGGGGCCUUCCGGGCCUUGGUAGCGCAGCUAACGCGUGAAGUUGACCGCCUGGGGAGUACGGUCGCAAGAUUAAAACUCAAAGGGAUUGACCAGGACCCGCACAAGCGGUGGAUGAUGUGGAUUAAUUCGAUGCAACGCGAAAAACCUUACCUACCCUUGACAUGUCUGGAAUCCCGAAGAGAUUUGGGAGUGCUCGCAAGAGAACCGGAACACAGGUGCUGCAUAGCUGUCGUCAGCUCGUGUCGUGAGAUGUUGGGUUAAGUCCCGCAGCGAGCGCAACCGCCUCAUCAUUAGUUGCUACGAAGAGAGGCACUCUAAUGAGACUGCCAGUGACAAACCGGAGGAAGGUGGGGAUGACGUCAAGUCCUCACUGGCCCUUAUAGGUAGGGCUUCACACGUCAUACAAUGGUCGGGACAGAGGGGUCGCCAACCCGCGAGGGGGAGCCAAUCCCAGAAACCCGAUCGUAGUCCGGAUCGCAGUCUGCAACUCGACUGCGUGAAGUCGAAUCUUCUAGUAAUCGCGGAUCAGCAUGUCGCAGUGAAUACGUUCCAGGUCUUGUACACACCGCCCGUCACACCAUGGGAGUGGGUUUUACCAGAAGUGUUCCUUCUAACCGUAAGGAGGCGAUUACCACGGUAGGAUUCAUGACUGGGGUGAAGUCGUAACAAGGUAA
This 1489-nucleotide ribosomal RNA is filed under the name uncultured Bordetella sp. RNAcentral describes it as "partial 16S-23S ribosomal RNA intergenic spacer". It matches the Rfam family "Bacterial small subunit ribosomal RNA". Lineage: Bacteria; Pseudomonadati; Pseudomonadota; Betaproteobacteria; Burkholderiales; Alcaligenaceae. The record is from RNAcentral.